This 301-nucleotide ribosomal RNA is filed under the name uncultured bacterium. RNAcentral describes it as "partial 16S ribosomal RNA". It matches the Rfam family "Bacterial small subunit ribosomal RNA", at positions 509 to 807 of the family's 1533-position model. The record is from RNAcentral.
CAGCCGCCACGGGAAAACGAUGGGGGCUAGCGUUGCUCGGAAUGACUGGGCGUAAAGGGCGCGUAGGCGGACUGAUAAGUCAGGGGUGAAAUCCCAAGGCUCAACCUUGGAACUGCCUUUGAUACUGUUUGUCUUGAGUUCGAGAGAGGUAAGUGGAACUGCGAGUGUAGAGGUGAAAUUCGUAGAUAUUCGCAAGAACACCAGUGGCGAAGGCGGCUUACUGGCUCGAAACUGACGCUGAGGCGCGAAAGCGUGGGGAGCAAACAGGAUUAGAUACCCCGGUAGUCCCUGUCUCUUAUAC